CUCACCUAGGCGACGAUCCCUAGCUGGUCUGAGAGGAUGACCAGCCACACUGGAACUGAGACACGGUCCAGACUCCUACGGGAGGCAGCAGUGGGGAAUAUUGCACAAUGGGCGCAAGCCUGAUGCAGCCAUGCCGCGUGUAUGAAGAAGGCCUUCGGGUUGUAAAGUACUUUCAGCGGGGAGGAAGGGAGUAAAGUUAAUACCUUUGCUCAUUGACGUUACCCGCAGAAGAAGCACCGGCUAACUCCGUGCCAGCAGCCGCGGUAAUACGGAGGGUGCAAGCGUUAAUCGGAAUUACUGGGCGUAAAGCGCACGCAGGCGGUUUGUUAAGUCAGAUGUGAAAUCCCCGGGCUCAACCUGGGAACUGCAUCUGAUACUGGCAAGCUUGAGUCUCGUAGAGGGGGGUAGAAUUCCAGGUGUAGCGGUGAAAUGC
This 433-nucleotide ribosomal RNA is filed under the name Escherichia coli. Its description in RNAcentral is "bacterial SSU rRNA". It matches the Rfam family "Bacterial small subunit ribosomal RNA", at positions 264 to 689 of the family's 1533-position model. The record is from RNAcentral. Lineage: Bacteria; Pseudomonadati; Pseudomonadota; Gammaproteobacteria; Enterobacterales; Enterobacteriaceae.